ACCUGACUGCUAUCGAACGGGACUAAGCCAUGCGAGUUUGCCAAUCAGAGCACGUUGGUUGGCGGCGAACGGCUCAGUAACACGUAGUCAACCUGCCCUCGGGACGAGGAUAAUCUCGGGAAACUGAGGCUAAUACUCGAUAGAUCAAGAUUCCUGGAAUGGGUUUUGGUCUCAAAUGAGGUAACGACAUCUUUGUUACAUUUCGCACGAGGAUGGGACUGCGGCCGAUCAGGCUGUUGGUGGGGUAAAGGCCCACCAAACCAGUAACCGGUACGGGCUUUGAGAGAAGGAGCCCGGAGAUGGACACUGAGACAAGGGUCCAGGUCCUACGGGGCGCAGCAGGCGCGAAACCUUCGCAAUGCGCGUAAGCGCGACGAGGUUAUUCCGAGUGAUUUCCGCUGAGGAAAUCUUUUCUCAGAUCUAAAAAUGGUGCAGAAUAAGGGGUGGGCAAGUCUGGUGUCAGCCGCCGCGGUAAUACCAGCACCCCGAGUGGUCGGGACGAUUAUUGGGCCUAAAGCAUCCGUAGCCGGUUGUGCAAGUCCUCCGUUAAAUCCAGCCGCUCAACGGAUGGGCUGCGGAGGAUACUACAGGACUAGGAGGCGGGAGAGGCAAGCGGUACUUAGUGGGUAGGGGUAAAAUCCUUUGAUCCAUUGAAGACCACCAGUGGCGAAGGCGGCUUGCCAGAACGCGCUCGACGGUGAGGGAUGAAAGCUGGGGGAGCAAACCGGAUUAGAUACCCGGGUAGUCCCAGCUGUAAACGAUGCAGACUCGGUGAUGGGCUAGCCUCGUGUCAGCCCAGUGCCGCAGGGAAGCCGUUAAGUCUGCCGCCUGGGGAGUACGGUCGCAAGACUGAAACUUAAAGGAAUUGGCGGGGGAGCACCACAAGGGGUG
Molecule: ribosomal RNA, 891 nt
Filed under: uncultured archaeon
Lineage: Archaea
Description: bacterial SSU rRNA
Rfam family: Archaeal small subunit ribosomal RNA
Source: RNAcentral